UUGGAUCUGCCUUUUUUAUUUUCCCAAAAAAAAAAAAAGAAUAUUUAGUUUGUGUGAUGUAUGUCUCUUACAUAUUCCCAUAAAGCAUCACAAAACCAUUUAUAAUGACAAGCAUGAAAGUUACAACUUAUGUGUGUUGCCCUAAUUAUAUCUUUCUCUGCAUUCGUGCCUUUCCUGUCUGUUUUUUCCAGUCUCUUAACUACUCUUUUUCCUGUCCUAAAUUAAAUAAACUUACAAAUUAAUUCCAAUCGCCCCAAAACGCAAAAUAUUAAAUUUUUG
This 279-nucleotide long non-coding RNA is filed under the name Nicotiana benthamiana. Its description in RNAcentral is "long non-coding RNA (NBEN_LNC009287)". The record is from RNAcentral. Lineage: Eukaryota; Viridiplantae; Streptophyta; Magnoliopsida; Solanales; Solanaceae.